CCUACGUGGGUCUGCAGUGAGGAAUAUUGGUCAAUGGACGACAGCCUGAACCAGCCAAGUAGCGUGAAGGAUGACUGCCCUACGGGUUGUAAACUUCUUUUAUAUGGGAAUAAAAUGUUCCACGUGUGGGAUUUUGUAUGUACCAUAUGAAUAAGGAUCGGCUAAUUCCGUGCCAGCAGCCACGGUAAUACGGAGGAUCCGAGCGUUAACCGGAUUUAUUGGGUUUAAAGGGAGCGUAGGCGGAGUGGUAAGUCAGUUGUGAAAGUUGGCGGCUCAACCGGAGAAUUGCAGUUGAAACUGGACGUCUUGAGUACAGUAGAGGUAGGCGGAAUUCGUGGUGUAGCGGUGAAAUGCUUAGAUAUCACGAGGAACUCCGAUUGCGAAGGCAGCUCACUGGACUGCAACUGACACUGAGGCUCGAAGGUGUGGGUAUCAAACAGGAUUAGAUACCCCAGUAGUC
This 460-nucleotide ribosomal RNA is filed under the name uncultured bacterium. RNAcentral describes it as "partial 16S ribosomal RNA". It matches the Rfam family "Bacterial small subunit ribosomal RNA", at positions 338 to 795 of the family's 1533-position model. The record is from RNAcentral.